GUGAGUCAUCGAGUCUUUGAACGCACCUUGCGCUCCUUGGUAUUCCGAGGAGCAUGCCUGUUUGAGUGUCAUUAAAUUCUCAACCUUAUUAGCUUUUGCUAAUAAUGGCUUGGAUUUGGGGGUCUUUUUGCCGGCUUCUUCAACGAGGUCAGCUCCCCUUAAAUGCAUUAGCUGGUGUCCUGUGUGGACUUGUCUAUUGGUGUGAUAAUUAUCUACGCCGUGGAUGUCUGAACAUUAUAUGGGUUUGCACUGCUUCUAACUGUCUGUUUAUUCAGACAAUACAUGACAAUUUGACCUCAAAUCAGGUAGGACUACCCGCUGAACUUAAGCAUAUCAAUAAGCGGAGG
This 347-nucleotide ribosomal RNA is filed under the name uncultured fungus. RNAcentral's name for it is "eukaryotic LSU rRNA". The stretch from base 1 to 71 matches the Rfam family "5.8S ribosomal RNA", at positions 84 to 154 of the family's 154-position model. Lineage: Eukaryota; Fungi. The record is from RNAcentral.